RNAcentral lists this non-coding RNA (21 nucleotides) under Caenorhabditis elegans. Lineage: Eukaryota; Metazoa; Nematoda; Chromadorea; Rhabditida; Rhabditidae. The record is from RNAcentral.
UAGUUGAAUUGGUGCAAACAU